UACGUAGGGUGCAAGCGUUGUCCGGAAUUAUUGGGCGUAAAGAGCGUGUAGGCGGCCAGACAAGUCUGCUGUGAAAACUCGAGGCUCAACCUCGAGCUGUCGGUGGAAACUGUCUGGCUAGAGUCCGGAAGAGGAGAGUGGAAUUCCUGGUGUAGCGGUGAAAUGCGCAGAUAUCAGGAAGAACACCUAUGGCGAAGGCAGCUCUCUGGGACGGUACUGACGCUGAGACGCGAAAGCGUGGGGAGCGAACAGG
RNAcentral lists this ribosomal RNA (253 nucleotides) under uncultured bacterium. Its description in RNAcentral is "partial 16S ribosomal RNA". It matches the Rfam family "Bacterial small subunit ribosomal RNA", at positions 524 to 776 of the family's 1533-position model. The record is from RNAcentral.